UACGUAGGGUGCAAGCGUUGUCCGGAAUUAUUGGGCGGAAAGAGCUCGUAGGCGGUCAGUCGCGUCUGCUGUGAAAACUCGGGGCUUAACUCCGGGCCUGCAGUGGGUACGGGCUGACUAGAGUGCGGUAGGGGAGACUGGAAUUCCUGGUGUAGCGGUGAAAUGCGCAGAUAUCAGGAGGAACACCGGUGGCGAAGGCGGGUCUCUGGGCCGAUACUGACGCUGAGGAGCGAAAGCGUGGGGAGCGAACAGG
This 253-nucleotide ribosomal RNA is filed under the name uncultured bacterium. Its description in RNAcentral is "partial 16S ribosomal RNA". It matches the Rfam family "Bacterial small subunit ribosomal RNA", at positions 524 to 776 of the family's 1533-position model. The record is from RNAcentral.